Molecule: ribosomal RNA, 446 nt
Filed under: SR1 bacterium canine oral taxon 369
Lineage: Bacteria; Candidatus Absconditibacteriota
Description: bacterial SSU rRNA
Rfam family: Bacterial small subunit ribosomal RNA
Source: RNAcentral
GAGUUUGAUCAUGGCUCAGGAUGAACGCUAGCGAAAUGCCUAACACAUGCAAGUCGAACGGAUCUUGCGCUGUACUUGUACAGAGUAAGAUUAGUGGCAAACGAGCGAGUAACGCGUGCUUAACCUGCCCCGAAGAUGGGUAUAACUGCAGAGAUGUAGCUAAUUCCCAAUAUGCUCACGAUGGUGAAAUCCCAAUGUGAGGAAAGAUUUAUCGCUUCGGGAGGGGGGUGCGUCCUAUCAGGUAGUUGGUAAGGUAACGGCUUACCAAGCCUAUGACGGGUAACCGGUCUGAGAUGAUGUCCGGUCGCGAUGGGACUGAGAUACGGCCCAUACUCCUACGGGAGGCAGCAGUGGGGAAUCUUGCACAAUGGACGAAAGUCUGAUGCAGCAAUUUCGCGUGAAGGAUGAAGCAUUACGGUGUGUAAACUUCUUUUUUGGAGGAAGAC